AGGCAAUUGAAUCUAGUUUACAAUGGUA
Molecule: small RNA, 28 nt
Filed under: Bombyx mori (domestic silkworm)
Lineage: Eukaryota; Metazoa; Arthropoda; Insecta; Lepidoptera; Bombycidae
Description: ovarian small RNA-12190
Source: RNAcentral